This 433-nucleotide ribosomal RNA is filed under the name uncultured bacterium. RNAcentral's name for it is "partial 16S ribosomal RNA". It matches the Rfam family "Bacterial small subunit ribosomal RNA", at positions 29 to 507 of the family's 1533-position model. The record is from RNAcentral.
AACGAACGCUGGCGGCAUGCCUAACACAUGCAAGUCGAACGAGACCUUCGGGUCUAGUGGCGCACGGGUGCGUAACGCGUGGGAACCUGCCCUUAGGUUCGGAAUAACUCCCCGAAAGGGGUGCUAAUACCGGAUAAUGUCUUCGGACCAAAGAUUUAUCGCCUUUGGAUGGGCCCGCGUUGGAUUAGCUAGUUGGUAGGGUAAAAGCCUACCAAGGCGACGAUCCAUAGCUGGUCUGAGAGGAUGACCAGCCACACUGGGACUGAGACACGGCCCAGACUCCUACGGGAGGCAGCAGUGGGGAAUAUUGGACAAUGGGCGAAAGCCUGAUCCAGCAAUGCCGCGUGAGUGAUGAGGGCCUUAGGGUUGUAAAGCUCUUUUACCCGGGAUGAUAAUGACAGUACCGGGAGAAUAAGCUCCGGCUAACUCCGUG